AGGCGGAGCGAAUCUCAAAAAGACCGUCCCAGUUCGGAUUGCAGGCUGCAACCCGCCUGCAUGAAGUUGGAAUCGCUAGUAAUCGCGGAUCAGAAUGCCGCGGUGAAUACGUUCCCGGGCCUUGUACACACCGCCCGUCACACCAUGGAAGUCUGCAAUGCCCGAAGCCGGUGGCCUAACCACUUAUGUGGAAGGAGCCGUCUAAGGCAGGGCAGAUGACUGGGGUGAAGUCGUAACAAGGUAAC
This 245-nucleotide ribosomal RNA is filed under the name uncultured bacterium. Its description in RNAcentral is "partial 16S ribosomal RNA". It matches the Rfam family "Bacterial small subunit ribosomal RNA", at positions 1260 to 1500 of the family's 1533-position model. The record is from RNAcentral.